CAGUCCUUACCAAUUUCUUGUAUUUUGCACAACUGGAGGCAUAAGAAAAAGUUGCAUAAAAUGAAUCCUGACAACGAACGCAAACAAGAAAGGCUUUGAAUAAGGAGGGAUCGAGAGAGACAAGCAAGAGCCCAAGAAACAGCUGACACAGAGACUCCUGAGGCCAGGCAGGCACGCCUACAGCAAAUGGCUGCUUCCACCCAAACCAGCAGAGCUUCAGAGACUCCUGAGGCCAGGCAGGCACGCCUACAGCAAAUGGCUGCUUCCACCCAAACCAGCAGAGCUUCAGAGACUCCUGAGGCCAGACAGGCACGCCUACAGCAAAUGGCUGCUUCAACUCAAACCAGCAGAGCCUCGGAGACUCCUGAGGCCAGACAGGCAUGCUUGGAACAAGACAGGCAUAGGUAUUCACAACACAUAGAUGUGAACCACCUGUACUGCUAACACGCUCGCCCCAUGACACCUUGUGUCACCCUAGU
Molecule: long non-coding RNA, 479 nt
Organism: Halichondria panicea
Lineage: Eukaryota; Metazoa; Porifera; Demospongiae; Suberitida; Halichondriidae
Exons: 4
Source: RefSeq, a predicted model, not a curated record